UGGGGAAUAUUGCACAAUGGGCGCAAGCCUGAUGCAGCCAUGCCGCGUGUAUGAAGAAGGCCUUCGGGUUGUAAAGUACUUUCAGCGGGGAGGAAGGGAGUAAGGUUAAUAACCUUAUUCAUUGACGUUACCCGCAGAAGAAGCACCGGCUAACUCCGUGCCAGCAGCCGCGGUAAUACGGAGGGUGCAAGCGUUAAUCGGAAUUAUUGGGCGUAAAGCGCACGCAGGCGGUCUGUCAAGUCGGAUGUGAAAUCCCCGGGGCUCAACCUGGGAACUGCAUUCGAAACUGGCAGGCUGGAGUCUUGUAGAGGGGGGUAGAAUUCCAGGUGUAGCGGUGAAAUGCGUAGAGAUCUGGAGGAAUACCGGUUGGCGAAGGCGGCCCCCUGGACAAAGACUGACGCUCAGGUGCCGAAACGUGGGGAGCAAACA
RNAcentral lists this ribosomal RNA (429 nucleotides) under uncultured Enterobacteriaceae bacterium. Its description in RNAcentral is "bacterial SSU rRNA". It matches the Rfam family "Bacterial small subunit ribosomal RNA", at positions 355 to 774 of the family's 1533-position model. Lineage: Bacteria; Pseudomonadati; Pseudomonadota; Gammaproteobacteria; Enterobacterales; Enterobacteriaceae. The record is from RNAcentral.